This 2510-nucleotide small RNA is filed under the name Pongo abelii (Sumatran orangutan). RNAcentral's name for it is "processed transcript". Lineage: Eukaryota; Metazoa; Chordata; Mammalia; Primates; Hominidae. The record is from RNAcentral.
ACCGCUUGGCGCGCGCACGUCCCGGAGGGCGCCCAGGGGGCGCCGCUUCCCGCUCAGCUCCGCUGGGGAGGCUGGUCCAGCCUGCGCGGAUCGGAGCGGAAAGAGUCGGGCGGAGCAGGCGGCUGCUUGACGGCUGAGAGCCCAGCGGGCGGCGCGGGCAGGUCCACGGGAAGCCUACACGCCCAAGGUCAUGCCCUGACCACAGCUGCCCUUUAGGAGGCUGGCACGGAGCCACCUAGGGCUGUUGGGCUGUUUGGCAAGGGUGGGGCGCCAGCAACUUGCCACUCUUCCUCCAUGAGCCCAGCCAGAGCCUCCACUGGGCCCUUAGCACAAAAAAACCCCUGCAGGAGCCAGAUCCAGAGCGCUGGGAUUCAGCAGGAGUGCCAGGAGAAUUCAACACAGGUGUGCUUCCUCCUCUCCUGCCAGGCGUGUGGCUGCACAGGAGUCUUGCUGAUGGUAAGAAUCGGAGUUCCUGGAUUCAGGGGGUACUGGGAGAAGCCGCCUGUGAGAAGGCUGGGCCAAACAAACAAAUGUUCUGAAUGAGGAUAAGAAAACAGCGUUUCUGCCGAGGGUCUCUGAUUUUCUGUAGCCUGCCCCUGGCUUGAAAACUGUCAGCUUAGCAAAGUGGACUCUCAAACCACCUGGAUCUCAUGUUUUUUGCUUGUCAGAUUCCUUGACAGCUGCAGAAUAGGCUCAACAUCCCGCAGGGUCUGCUUCUCUGACUGGGACAAAAACGCUCAUAAGAAACUGAUGGGAGCAGCUUCACCGGGGGUGGCAGACAAUUCUGGCCAGGAGUGGGUGUCCACAGUGGGCAAGAAGUGUGGGCUCCAUGCCAGGAGCAGUGGCAACAGCUUCUAGAAAUUGUCUAAUAGCCUGACAUCCUAAAGAAUGUCCCGAAGAGCUGGAAAAGCAGUUCUUCCAGACACAUGCAGGGAGCAGCGAAAUGAGAUGCAGUAGAAGGUUGAAUCCAGCUGGGAGCACAGUGCAAUUUAGUUAAGAGUGACUUCUGUGGCAUCUGCUGGUCGUGGGUGAGGGCUGUGGGAAGAUAAUACUAAUUUGGCCAUUAUUACAUGUGUCUUCCUUGAAUCUUCAAUCAGAUUGUCAACUCUUUGAGGGUAGUAAUGGAAUAUUUUAUUUCUUUUGCAUUCUUCACAAGGUUGGGUACUCAGCCACUGUUUAUUGGUUGAGUAUUUGAUGUAUUCCGACACAAUAAACUUGACCAGGCCAGGUCCUAGAAUCUUCAUUCAUGGGAGCAGUGUUGUCACCAGUAUCUGUUGGGCACCUGCUGAGAAGGAGCGGUGGCAGGUACUUUUGCCACCCGAGUUGGCCUGAGGUUGCUGAGUGUAUGAGUUUCCUAGGGCUGCCUUAACAAAGUGCCACCAACUGGAUGAUUAACAGAAAUGUCAGGUCUCCCAGUUCUAGAGGCUAGUGGUCUACAACCAAGGUAUCAGCAGGGCCUGAUCCCUCUGUGGUAUAUAUGAGGCCCCUCCUUGCCUCGCUCUGGCUUCUGAUAAUUUGCCGGCCGACUUUGGUCUUCCUUGGCUUGCAGCUGCGUCACUCCAAUCCCUGCCUUUAUCAUCACAUGGCAUUCUCCCUGUGUGUAUGUGUUUCCAAUGUUCCCAUUUUUAUAAGGACAUCAGCCAUAUUAGGAACCACCCUACUCCAGUAUGACCUCAUCUUAACUCAUUACAUCUUCAGCAACCCCGUUUCCAAAGAAGGUCACAUUCUGAGGUACUGGGGGUUAGGACUUUGAUGUGGAGAUCACAGUUCAAGCUGCUACACUAAGUGAGCUCAUUCACAGUGACAAGACUAGGGACAUACAAAGGGCCGGGGUGAAUAUGAAUGGUGUUCUGUGGUGCUGCCUGAAAGUGACUGGCAGCAGUGUCAUCAGGGGAGCAUGUCCUCUGUUCUCAGCAUUCCCUAGGGAGGUGUGCUGAGCUGGGGCCCAGCUGGACACAUUGGAUGCUGUGCUCCAGAGGAGGAACUGCACUCACCUAUCGCUCUCCUUUGUAUGGGACAAGUGGGACAGAGCCUUGACUGGGGGAACACAUCACUGGGGUUCCAGGCAGCCUUAACUUCGAGGAAUGCCAGGAAAUUCUAUCUGCCCAGCACCUGGUGACCCUGGAGCUCCUCAGUUUCCUGGGAAGUUGAGUUUUGGAGCAGUCUCUCCCAGAGAGGCUGGGAGUGCAUCACUUUCCCCCUAGAGGCGGCGGAGGCUGCUGGGCCCAACUAGCUUAUUGCCAGGCAACCCAGAGAGAGUUCCAGACACCAGAUACUGAACAACCUACUUGUCUCCAAACCUAGUAAAGCUUGGACCCAAUGCUGCCGACUUUUCUGCCUCUCCAGUUUUGGAGCCCUUAAUGUGAAGGUGCAACCCAGAAGCCUGCAGGCUGUUCAUAGCCUGUAGAUGUGUUUUCUUCCCAGUAGCUGGUGUACACAGUGUUUCUGUAUUAUUUUUCAAAUAAGAAAUACAUUUGUGUGGUUCAAAAAUUAAAGCGCUAUAGAAAGGU